GGGGAUUUAGCUCAGUGGUAGAGCGCUUGCCUAGGAAGCGCAAGGCCCUGGGUUCAGUCCCCAGCUCCUCCG
Molecule: transfer RNA, 72 nt
Filed under: Rattus norvegicus (Norway rat)
Lineage: Eukaryota; Metazoa; Chordata; Mammalia; Rodentia; Muridae
Rfam family: tRNA
About the family: Transfer RNA (tRNA) molecules are approximately 80 nucleotides in length. Their secondary structure includes four short double-helical elements and three loops (D, anti-codon, and T loops).
Source: Rfam by way of RNAcentral